UAUUGCGCUGAAGUCGUUUCCACAGCAAAUUCUGAGAGCCCUUACCAAAGACAUAGUUUUGUGACUUUUAAAGUCUGCAGGCUGCUUGGGAAGGACUCUGGGAGAUCCUGAACCACACAAGGCUGAUGUUGCGGGUCGGAAGCUGGGGACGGGAUGGAAUCUGGGUGAGGUCUGAAAGAAAGUGAUCAAAACCAGAAUGAAAAGCAAUUCCAAAGCAACUGGGAUGGCUCCUACAUAAUCAGCAAGUCAGAAUGAAAAGCAAUUCCCAAGCAACUGGGAUGACUCCUACAUAAUCACCAAGUCAGGUAUGGACAGCUGAGGAAUCUGUGUCCUCAAAGUUUUCAGACCAAAAUUAAUUUAAAAAUUCCUUGUUUCCUCUUUUAAAGAUUGUCCUGUUUUAUUCUCUUUAAUGAGGAGGAGAGAAUGGAAGUGAAAUAAAACUUGAGGGUGAUAAUACCAAAACACAUAUUCCCACAACAUCUAAGAACCAUAGUUCUUUUCGAGGAAUAUGCACACAGAGUGAAUUAUUUUGUCUCAUUUUCAACCAUCUCAGCCUGCUUGAGGGGAAAAAGCGACACUUCUAGGAGUGAGGACACAAGAAUAGGACAUAUGUAUGCCAAAUAUCUGCAAAAGUCAGGCAAUCAACUGAGACAAAGAAGCCCUUGAGUAGCAAUAACCAGGUUGUGAGUUGUGAGUUCAAGCCAUGAUAAAUACCAAGAAAAAUAGAGAUAGAUAAACAGACAGACAGAUAGAUACACUUAGAGACAGAGAGAGA
Long non-coding RNA from Cavia porcellus (domestic guinea pig), 775 nucleotides. RefSeq lists it as uncharacterized. The transcript is spliced from 3 exons. The record is from RefSeq and is a predicted model, not a curated record. Lineage: Eukaryota; Metazoa; Chordata; Mammalia; Rodentia; Caviidae.